This 228-nucleotide ribosomal RNA is filed under the name Clavispora sp. CI. Its description in RNAcentral is "partial 28S ribosomal RNA". It matches the Rfam family "Eukaryotic large subunit ribosomal RNA", at positions 50 to 297 of the family's 3401-position model. The record is from RNAcentral. Lineage: Eukaryota; Fungi; Ascomycota; Pichiomycetes; Serinales; Metschnikowiaceae.
GGGGGGGACCAUCAGGGAUUGCCCCAGUACGGCGACUGAAGCGGCAAAAGCUCAAAUUUGAAAUCCUGCGGGAAUUGUAAUUUGAAGGUUUCGUGGUCUGAGUCGGCCGCGCCCAAGUCCAUUGGAACAUGGCGCCUGGGAGGGUGAGAGCCCCGUAUGGCGCACGCCGACUCUUUGCACCGCGGCUCCGACGAGUCGAGUUGUUUGGGAAUGCAACUCUAAGGGGGA